This 523-nucleotide ribosomal RNA is filed under the name uncultured bacterium. RNAcentral's name for it is "partial 16S ribosomal RNA". It matches the Rfam family "Bacterial small subunit ribosomal RNA", at positions 28 to 523 of the family's 1533-position model. The record is from RNAcentral.
GACGAACGCUGGCGGCGUGCCUAAUACAUGCAAGUCGAGCGCAGGAAACUGACGGAACUCUUCGGAGGGAAGGCAGUGGAAUGAGCGGCGGACGGGUGAGUAACACGUAAGGAACCUGCCUCAAGGAUUGGAUAACUCCGAGAAAUCGGAGCUAAUACCGGAUAGUUCAACGGACCGCAUGGUCCGCUGAUGAAAGGCGCUCCGGCGUCACCUUGAGAUGGCCUUGCGGUGCAUUAGCUAGUUGGUGGGGUAACGGCUCACCAAGGCGACGAUGCAUAGCCGACCUGAGAGGGUGAUCGGCCACACUGGGACUGAGACACGGCCCAGACUCCUACGGGAGGCAGCAGUAGGGAAUCUUCCACAAUGGACGAAAGUCUGAUGGAGCAACGCCGCGUGAGUGAUGAAGGUUUUCGGAUCGUAAAACUCUGUUGUAAGGGAAGAACACGUACGAGAGGAAAUGCUCGUACCUUGACGGUGCCUUACGAGAAAGCCACGGCUAACUACGUGCCAGCCGCCGCAGUAA